RNAcentral lists this transfer RNA (73 nucleotides) under Escherichia coli. RNAcentral describes it as "tRNA-Met". It matches the Rfam family "tRNA". Rfam says of the family: Transfer RNA (tRNA) molecules are approximately 80 nucleotides in length. Lineage: Bacteria; Pseudomonadati; Pseudomonadota; Gammaproteobacteria; Enterobacterales; Enterobacteriaceae. RNAcentral also lists the same sequence under 11 other names. The record is from RNAcentral.
CGCGGGGUGGAGCAGCUUGGUAGCUCGUCGGGCUCAUAACCCGAAGGUCGUCGGUUCAAAUCCGGCCCCCGCA